This is a long non-coding RNA of Gasterosteus aculeatus aculeatus (three-spined stickleback), 721 nucleotides long. NCBI's taxonomy places the organism in Eukaryota, Metazoa, Chordata, Actinopteri, Perciformes, Gasterosteidae. The record is from Ensembl.
GGCGAGACCAGAAGGCUGUAGUACGUGGUUACAGAGAGUUUUAGAUACUCUUGUCUACAAGGAUCCUAUUUUGCCACCCUGAGCGACGAUGGAACACCUUGGUGGUGAGUAGUGUGUUUUAUUGUUGAUUACGUGUUUUAGUAAAACAAGCAUUAUACUUACAAGUAUAUAUUCAUUAAGGUUUCUCAACGAUAUGACAGUCCAGAGGGGGGUUAACCAUCUAAAGCAUCGAUGAGGUCUAGUGAUUUUAUAAUUGUUUUAUUUUCUCCCAUCUUAACGUAUUUAAAUUGUAUUUACAUGUAUGCAAAUAUCUUUUAGAAAGCGACUGCAGACAGGAUCCUAAAGAUGGUGGAAGGCUAACUACAAAAAGCGUGGAAACAGGCCUGCAGACCGAGCUAAGAAACCUUCAAGAAAUACAAAAACAACUCCCAACAAGCAUUGAGUGGCUUACCACAACCCUCAACAAGUAAGCCGUCCUUGGAUGGUAAGGACGUGAACCGCAUGAUAUUAUAACAUUUGAGACCUUUCACCUACUUAUAGAACUUUUGUCAAACAUUCUCCAGGGUGUUCUCCAAAAGGACCAAAGUGGGUUAAACCCACAAUAAAAACGCCUGCGAUAGAGUCCACAUCCAAGGACAUGGCUGUGGUAUCCAUCAGAAGGCCCCGCGGUGUUUAAACCUCCAAUAAAAAGGCCCGCGUUAGCUCCCACCCGUCAGGACAC